Molecule: transfer RNA, 73 nt
Filed under: Ictidomys tridecemlineatus (thirteen-lined ground squirrel)
Lineage: Eukaryota; Metazoa; Chordata; Mammalia; Rodentia; Sciuridae
Description: tRNA-Ala (TGC) (tRNA-Ala-TGC-10-1)
Rfam family: tRNA
About the family: Transfer RNA (tRNA) molecules are approximately 80 nucleotides in length.
Source: Rfam by way of RNAcentral
UGGGGUGUAACUCAGUUGGUAGAGUGCUUGCCUUGCAUGCACAAGGCCCUGGGUUCAAUUCCCAGCACCACAA